ACACAAAAAUGCUAUUGCAUCGGCUGUAUUUUUUCCCUCCCAAAAUUUUCACUAUAUCCACCAAAAAUUAAAAUAAUAUAUAACAUAAAUUAAAGAAGUAUAUAUUGAAAAUUUUCCAUGACUUAAAUAUUUCCCCACUCUCAACCACGCACUGCCAUACGCUCCGACCACAUGCCACCACCGGUACGCUCCUACGACCACACAUGACACACCACCAGCUCCGAUGACCACACACAACACGACACCAGUAGCUCCGACCACACACCACCAGUAGCUCCGACGACACACCAUCAAUUCGAUUUCAGCUUUCAAUUUGCACUUUAAUUUCAGAGCUAAUUUACGAUUUUCUUUUUUUAUUUGAUGAUUUUAAGUUGGGUGCUAUUAGGUGCUCUUAGAGGUGGUUUAGACUUUGCUUUUAGGAAUGAAUUGUGCAGUAAAACGUAUGAAGGGACAAACAUGUCGAGUACCCAUCACUGGGUCAUACAGUAACCUUUGAAAACUUUCUGCAGACUUACGAGAUUUGAGGAGACUGGGCCGUGCUAGCUUAUCUUAAAGACAAAGGCACCGAAAGCUUCCUCCCUGGUCAGUGCUAAUCCAAUCACCUCUCUGAAGCAC
Molecule: long non-coding RNA, 615 nt
Organism: Capsicum annuum
Lineage: Eukaryota; Viridiplantae; Streptophyta; Magnoliopsida; Solanales; Solanaceae
Exons: 3
Source: RefSeq, a predicted model, not a curated record